AACAAAGCCCAGGCAUCGCUUCCUUCUGAUUCAUCGGUUCCGGCGAAACUGUUAGGCCCGCGUCUCCCGCUGCACGAUCCCGCGUCCGGUGGAGAAGCAGCGCCCUUCCCGGGGCUCCGCCUGGAGCCCGCUCGGCCCGCGCCGCUCCCGCCCGCCCGUCCGUCUCUGCGGGGCGGUCCUGAGCCGGUCCCCCGGGUCUGCGGGUCUGCGGCUCUCCCGCGGCUCUCCCGCGGCUCUCCCGCGGCUCUCCUCCGGGCCCCGGCCCCCGCUCCGGCGUGCCCGCAGCCAGCGCCGGCCCCCCGGCCCCCCGCCCGGCCCUCGCCCCUACCGUUUCCUCUCCGCCCGCCGCCCUUUUCCAGUCCAGUGCGUCACUCCCGGGCAGCCUCCACCACUUUUUUCUUUCUAGAUCGCGUCCACCAGGCAGCGGCGGCGGCGGCGGAGGAGCUCGGCGGGCCCGGCCCGGGGCUGGGGGACGCGGCCGCGGGCAGGCGGGCGCGGAGGGGCGGGGCGGGGCGGGCGGCGGGGAGGGGAGCGGAGGGGAGGGGAGGGGAGGGGGGCCGCGGCUGCAGCUGGGGGGCCCGGGCGGGCCGGGACGGGGCGGGGCGAGGCGAGCCCAGCGUGGGCCCCCGAGGGGCGGGGGGGCAGCGGCCGCGCGCAGCCGGGCCCGGGGGUCGCAGCCCGAGCCGCGGCGGGGACCCGGGGCGCCUGCUCACGCGGCUGGCGGCUGGCGGGCGGGUCACCCACGGCGCCCGCAGCGCCCUUCCUCGGCCCGGCCGGAGGGGGAGGCUCUCCCGCGGCGGCUCGGCGGGGCGCGGGGGCCACGCGCGGGCCGCGGAGCUCCCCCUGGCAGGCGGGGCGCGCACCGCCCCCUCCCCCUCCCCCCCCCCCCCCCCCCCGCGGCCGGCGGACCGGGACGCGGACGGGGACCCCUGCGGGCAGGGCGGGAGGCGCGCGGACCCACAGGUGGGGACCAACCCCGCCCUCUCGGCGCUCCCGCCGGCCGCGGCUCGCCCGCACGUCCCCGCUGGCUCCCGGGGCUGCGGCGGAGGAAGGGGCCGGAGCGCCGGGGGAGCGGCCGUCGGGGCCCGAGGACAGCCGGCGCCGUGGCCACCUUGCAAGGACUGCGCAAGGCCGGUGCGCGGAGAGGCGGCGAGCGGCGAGCGGCGAGCGCGGGGCCCGGGGCCCGGGGCCCGGGGGGCGGGGGGCGGGCAGGAGGCGGCAGCCCGCGGGCCCCCGGGGACGCCCCCGGAGCGCCCCAGGGUCCCCGUCCCCAUCCCCAUCCCCCACACCCCUCCCCCCAGCCGCCCUUCCUGCACCUCCCCUCCAGUCACCCGCAAUCAAUACCACCGUGAGAUUCCUCUUUCUUCUUUCUUUCUUUCUUUCUUUCUUUCUUUCUUUCUUUCUUUCUUUCUUUCUUUCUUUCUUUCUUUCUUUCUUUCUUUCUUUCUUUCUUUUCUUUCUUUCUUUCUUUCUUUCUUUUUCUUUUCUUUCUUUUUCGCUCGUCCCUAG
This 1509-nucleotide long non-coding RNA is filed under the name Canis lupus familiaris (dog). Its description in RNAcentral is "lncRNA (ENSCAFG00030018079.1)". Lineage: Eukaryota; Metazoa; Chordata; Mammalia; Carnivora; Canidae. The record is from RNAcentral.